AUGCGUCUGUUGUCCCAUGAUCAGUUUAUCAUCAUGGCGGUAACCCUUUGGUCCAUCUGGCAUGCCCGAAGGAAAGCUAUCCACGAAGCAAUUUUCCAAAGUCCGCAAGCCACCCACUGUUUCAUUGAGAGAUAUUUACAGGACCUUUCCAUCAUCAGUAACACCGAGCAGGUACAGCGGGUUCCAAGGACGGGCGUUGCAAGACCGAAGAAACCACCUGCGGGGCAUCACAAAAUUCAUGUUGAUGCAGGGGUGCAGGCCAGAAGAGGGGGCUCUGCUGUUGCAGUAUGUAGAGAUGAAAGUGGAAAUUAUAUUGGAAGCUCGGCUCUCGUGGUGGAAGGAAUUUUUGAUCCCCCAACCCUGGAAGCAAUUGCAUGUCGGGAAGCCUUGUCUCUUGCGGAGGAUUUGGGCAUCCAUCAGUUCAUGGUGGCCUCGGACUGUCGUCAGGUCGUUCUAGAUAUCAACAGGGGGUCAAGAGGUGUCUAUGGUGCUGUCAUUAGUGAGAUCAACACCCUAGCCGCUACAUUAUCUUGUAAUUUUUCUUUUGAAACCCGUGCUGCUAAUUAUGAAGCACAUCGUUUAGCUAAGUUUGCUCUUUCUAGAGGUCCGGGACGUCAUGUAUGGUUUGGUGUUCCCCACGACCAAACUUGUAUCCCACUCCAUGUGGAUUUUGAUGAAUAA
Molecule: ribosomal RNA, 681 nt
Filed under: Triticum aestivum (bread wheat)
Lineage: Eukaryota; Viridiplantae; Streptophyta; Magnoliopsida; Poales; Poaceae
Description: partial small subunit ribosomal RNA
Source: RNAcentral